Molecule: long non-coding RNA, 334 nt
Filed under: Mytilus galloprovincialis (Mediterranean mussel)
Lineage: Eukaryota; Metazoa; Mollusca; Bivalvia; Mytilida; Mytilidae
Source: RNAcentral
CACGGGGUAUGACUAUAUAGGUCUUGUAGAAGAGAAACAGGCGCUUCUUUUGCGCUAGGUAUCGAAGGGCGCUAUGUUCAAAAAUCUGAAACUAGAGCUCAAAAUUUGAAAAAAAAUGUCAAAAAAUUAGGGGGGUCGGCCUAUUCCAGGGCUUCUAGAGAAAAAUAAUGAGGGGUGUCACGGGGAAUGACUAUAUAGGUCUUGUAGAGGAGAAACAGGCGCUUCUUUUGCGCUAGGUAUCGAAGGGCGCUAUGUUCAAAAAUCUGAAACUAGAGCUCAAAAUUUGAAAAAAAUGUCAAAAAAAUAGGGGGGUCGGCCUAUUCUAGGACUUCUA